GUAAUUUGUUUAUUUCAAGUCAGAUAUUUGUAGUGAAAUUGCUCUUUCCUAGAAACUUCAAAUCUUAAAAUUUGCUAAGAAUACCCUCAUUCUCUUAUAUGAUGGUAGAACACUUGCAAAAUGAGUCUACAACAACCUGCUUUGUUUCAAUAAGAUAACCUAUUCUCUGGAGCAGCUCUGCAGCUUUGUGAGACCAGCCACCAGCAGCUUCAUCCAGAAGAGAUGUCUCAGUCUCUUCUUUCACACAGGAGGAACUGACACAGCGGUGAGAAGGGGGCACAGAGGAAGUCAUGCCAGUUACACUGGUUACCACAACCCCCUUCUCUUUGUGACCCAUCUAACCCUUCCUCAUUAAGAUAUCCCCCUUCAGCCAGGAUCAGUUUAAGAGCACAGGCUUUGCACGCCCGUCCCAACUUUCCAUCCUCAAGCAGCAUAAAGUCACACCAGUUUUUUUGAUACAUUGCAGUAAGGUUUUCAGAGGCAACAUUCUUGGCAAAAAGACUGGUUCUUUGACUCAGUCUAAGCCACCUGUUACUCCAGUUACUACCCUGAUAUAACCAUUCAUCUCUCCAAAUGGAAGACAGGAAGCUCCUAGUUCUCAUCCUGAUAUUUUCAGGAUGUGUUUACCAGCUCACAUCAAAACUCACAGAAAGCCUUCUACCUUGCUGAUAGCUAUAUCCUGCAAGUUUAAAAGCAGUAUAAAUAGAGUAUAGGCUGCUUUUGGGGUGACAGAUGGAGAGCAAAAUCAGGCUUGUAAUGAAAGCCAGCAUGCUUUUCAUUAAGCACUGCUUCUCUGUAAUCCAAACCACCUAAGUCAAGGAAACACAGCUAAUAAUGCAGUGAUAAGAACCACGCCAACACUGUUAGAGCAAAGUCAAUACAAUUAUUUUUUAACCUGCCCUUCUAGAGAUUUUCUUUAGCAGAAAAGUCCCUGUGCCUCAGUGCUGUAUGUAUUCUAGCAACAACAAAUUAUUUCUGUGCUGAUAAGGGAUGUGUAAAAUCCACAGCUGAUUACCAAAGACAAACAUGUGCUUAGCAGUUUUCAGAAGUCUGUUAGCUUGGGGCACAUCAGGCUGGGGUUCCAAUGGAAAUUCAUGUUGUGCUGGAGCAAGAAUCACGUUUCUUACUCAGAUGUGAGGAACAGGGAGGAGAAGUGCAGCUCCAGCAGGGCACAGGUGGCAGAUUAGAGCACAUCCCUCACAUUAAGGAACCUUACGCAGUAUCUGCACAGCGUAUGGUGCAUUUUUGAAGAUCACUCCACAAGCUGCAGCAUAAUAACUGAGGAAACUGCCAUUACUCAGUGGAAACUGGCCCAGGAAGAUCAUGAUGCAGCUGCUUCGAUUCGUUCCACCUAGAAAUGGUUCCCAGUGCUUAAGAUACAUACUCCAAAAAACCCCAAGCAAUUAACUGGACUUGAAAACCCCAUUAACGAUAGAAAUGUUUCAAUCCACAUGCUCUUUACCAAGCUCCUGCAUUGCUACCUACCGGUAAGUUUGGACUCACUGUACUUCCCUGUUUUUCAAAGCAACAGAGGUUCCCUAUGCUCAAAAUCCUUGAGACAGCACCUUACGAGUAAGGUGAGGAACCUAAUGAGUAAGGCACAAACUAUCCUGUGUUUUCAAAUUACCACUGCACUCAAGGUGAGGUGAUUUUGCUUGCAAGAGUUAAUUAUGAAAAGGGAAAUCAUGCACUGAAGCCUCCACUUUCCAGUAUGUCACAGUAGCAGACGUGGUGGUUACACAGUUUUUAUUUCACCCUUUCAGCAAACUAGCCAGAAGGGAAACAAAGUGUUAUGGUGGCUCAGGCAGCAAGCAGCAACACUAUUACUGCUGCAGCCAUGUGCUAGCAUCCAAGUUCCCUGGAGAAAGGAGUUAACUGAUGAAACAAAGCAGGUGAUGAUGGCAUGUCAGUUUCCAUUCAAUCUGCAGAUGAUAGCAGUAGAAAAAAUGCAAUUUCAGAUAGAUCUGUCAGUAAGAUUUAUGUGCAUCAAUAAAAGAUGAGGGGAAAUUUGUCAGCCAAAUCAUUAAGUUCAGCGCUGACCUUAGGACAGCCACAAGUUUGAUCCCUACAAAUCUACCUUUGUUGCCACAAUUUGAUUCACUUGUCUACAAGGGGUGGUUUUCAAGCAGUGCUUUCAGGGUGUCCCAGCAGUUUGACAGCCAGUUUCUCAGUUUUGACUCCGUAUCAUGAGACUGAAAUCACACAAUACCUAAACAACAACGCACGUCUAAAGCAACCCACCAGAAAGUGUACUAAAUCAAAACGACUGCUCUGAUUGCUGCUACCUCAAACGAAGAACAGACAACAGGCUCCUUCCUUAUUAACUAUCUUGUCUAAAACAGCUCUCCAAGAUCCCUUGCUUAAAAAGCCUGACAGUUUUGAAUGCAUGGCUUCAAGUGAGAACUACAGGAUUUGUUGAUGUAUGGGAACUGCUGAAUCACGGCCUGAACCUCUGAUUGACCACCUGAGGCAAGCACUGAGUCAGCCAUGGGAGCACAGGUGAAGGCAAUUCAGCUGUGCUGCUGGAAGGGGUGGAGCCUGGCUGCACCUCUCCUAGACCCAUUUAAGAGCUGGCUGCCAGGUAGGAAGGAUCUCUGCUGGAGAUCCCUCCUUCAGAGUCUCAUAGUGAGCCCAGGAUCAGCCAGUCGCAGUGCCUGCUGCUAACAGGAUUGUACCCUGUAUUGCUCCACGAGUCACAGGCAAGAGACUUGCUCAAAGCCUAAAAAAAAAACAACCAGAGACUAUCUGAAAGAACAGUCUACCUGAACUUUGUACUUCUGGUAAAUGAACAACAUCUGCACUUGCGUGACAUUGCAAUAUUACACAGGGAAAAUGUCCUGAACUACGAAAUUGCCUGAUUUUGGAGUAGCGUGUUCUCUGCCUCUAAGAUGCACGAGAUGUGAAGUCCAAUGACUCCUGCUUGCUGAAAGAAAGGAUGAAGCAGGCUGCACUGCUUUCACACAGCUUGUACUGCUUCUCUUCCAACACAUCCAGAGUGAAGGAGGACAACAGAAGGCAGACUGACCACAGCAGCUUACUACAGGAGGCGAGCUGCAAAGUGAGAAACUGGACCUACCCAUCUGUAGCAGGAGUCUGCAUCUCUCCAGGCAUUCUCAAAGAUUCUUCUUCCUCCUCUGCAAGGGGCAUUUGUUCUCCAUAGCCCUGAGCUGUAUCCCUGCACUCCAAGGGUUACUAAGCACUGAUUCUCACCACUUGCAUCUAUCCUGGCCUCUGUCGUCAUUCUGCCACCUGCAUAAACCACGACUGCCCAAAGAACACCAGGAUGAGAAGGUUACAAGUCAAGGCAGCUGUGGCAACCUGGACAAACACCACGUCAAAGCUGCUUCCUAAAUACCCACAUCUUCCAGACUGAAACAGGACCAUUUCAGACUGCCUGCACAGUCACUUUAUUUUACAGAGGAACACUACAACCCUUCAGCAGGAAACUUAUGACCAGCAAUAGAGUUAUUCAGUUAAAUUAAGACAGAGAAAGCUUUCAAGUCUACAGAGUUGUUUUAUUUAUAACUCAGCUGAGAGGCUCAUUUCUUCCAGAAAGUGAGAUGCACAGAAUCAGGAGACCGGCAUUUAAAAAAAGACAAACAGAACAUACAGGACUUAUCGUAUCCAUGUGUUAUGUGCUCUGAAACAAAGAGUCUCUUGAAAAUAUUAAGAGGUGACUAAAUGAGGAGUAGAAAAGUCAGCUACUUAGGGUAUGAGGAAGUGAGAAAACAUUAUAUAUGCCAUACCUUUCCUACUGGGGCAGAAAGGCUGGAUUAUCAAGUCGACUGAACAGGAAGCUUGGAUGGCAACACUCCUGACAGAAGUAAUGAUGCUCUCACUCACGUAAUCGUACCUCAAGGGAUUGCCAAUCAGCUACAGCUGACCUGACAAUCACUAGAUGCUACAGGUUUGUGGACCCUGCCAUCAGCAAACCUAGAGAUCUUGCACGGCAUGCCCUGCAUGCUCCUGGGGUAACUGAGCCAAGCAAAACUGCACGAAGACCGCAGCAAGAACAGCUCCAGCAAUUGGUUAUCAGCAAGCAGUUCUGCAGCCUAAAGGCACACAAUAGGCUGAUCUUGCUUCAGUAACACCUUAGUAUCUCCAGGUGUCUCUCUUCUUGCAACAGAGCACAUGAGCACAACUACAAUAAUCCGAACCAAAGCUACAGCAGCAGCCCUGGUUGUGUCCAUCAGAAAGUGACCUUUUAAAACAGCAUCCACUGCAUUUUCUGCAAGAUGAGUUCAGUGCUGCCUGACAGCACAGUGUUGCAAAUGAGAAGACUUCAGCUGCUCCCACAGAUGCCUCAGCUGGUUCAGAGCAGGAUGCUCGCUUGCUAACAUUAUGCACCCACACACACUGAGUGCCAUGAAUGUACUCUGAGGCCAUUCAGCAGGUGGGAGGGAGAGAACUGGAAGGCCACAAAGGCUGGUAAAGCCUGGAGCAAAACCACAGCUUGGAGAUGAGCAUGGCAAUGAAUUUGCAUGUCGGUUCUGGUCAUCUCCUCAAUGCAGAUCAAAAGGACAGAAUAAUUCAAAGGAACCUUCAAAAGAACUGAACCUUUUCACAAGAAAUUCAUUGCUAACCGGAGGCUGGGAGAGGACAGGGAAAGAAGGGAUACAAAUAAUGUGCAGUAUUCUAGAUCCAACAGGAAACAUCACCAUUUUCAUCAACCAUGCUAGGUAAGAAUAACACAGAGGAAUGCACAACAAACUUGAGGCAAAAUGAUUUCUACACAAAAUCCUUUGCAUCUCCCACACCCCUUUUGUUUCCUUUUCCCUUUUCUUUCAGCUACAACAAAACUACGUACAAGAGAAUCCCUUAGCAAUCUUCUGCAUGCUAUGCAAGGAUCUUUCAUAGCAGCAGUUUUGCAGAAUGUUGAAAAGCUUCAGUUCUGUUUGCCUAUCAUCCAGUACAAUAUUCCUCUCUUACUUCAAAUGCACAUCCGUUCAGAAAUGCCAUCUGUUCAGAGUCAGUUUAUUCUAUCCACAGUCCAUUUAUUCUGCUGUACUUUCAAAAGGGAGCGUGUAGAACAAAUGAGAGAGGCAGGAUAUGGAGACAGCAUUUCAGCAGUGUAGGAUGUGUCUGAACAAACUACAGAAGGUAAAAGAUCCCAAAGGUUUUAAUCAUGGAUUUGUCAGAAAGGCAGGGGCAGCUGAUACAGACAAGGGGUCAUAAACGCAGGAACUGACAGCAGAUAUCCAGAACUGAGCACACACUGUUGUUACACCUCCUACCCACUCCAAAAUCAACACCACCCCUACCAGGCUGCCAGUGAAUUUCAAACAUGUAGCUGAGUAGGACACAAGUCACACCCAGUGUUCAGGUGUUGGCUGAAAAACAGAGGGGAAAAAAAAUAGUUUUGCCUUUAAAGUCUCACUAUGUUCUUCUUGCAUCAUGCACAGCACAGCUCUCCAAAAAUAGAGACUGCUGCUCAGUUUGCCUCAAAAUCAUUCGCUGGAGUGCCAACCACCCCUUUUUGGUCUUCACUAUUGCACUAGAAAUGAGCUUAUGCAGAAAGCCCAGAGCAAAAAUCUGAUGCCAGUGAAAUCAACGAUUCUACCCCAACCCUCUUUGUCAAGGACUGAGUUCAUUUGCUGUAGCUCCAACACAAGAUCUGUAACUCAGCCUAAAUAUUUCAGUUUCUUUUGGCACAAAUGUUGGAAACGACAACUUGGAAAUGAAGCCCUGGACCUUGAAGGGUCUUUAAUUCAGAGAACAAGAAAUGUUAGGAAUUCAAAUUCAAGCAGGAUCCUUCCAGCACGUGGACUGCUAGGUAUUGGUGCUAUUACUGAGCAGUUGCAGGUGUGCAGAGGCUCUAAAAUGCAAAAGAGCUGCCUCAUUACCUACAAGCAUAUACAGGAGUAGAAACUGCUCCAGAAUAACAAAAAUCAGUUCCUGCACUCAGAGCUUGGAACAGUGGACUUGACAAGAGAGGGCCGAUGAGAAAAUACUUCAGGAGUAAAACUGGGCAGGAAUGACAGGACUUACAGAUGCGUGAUUACAGUGUUAGUCAUUUCCAACGAACCUUGAAACUGAGGUUUGGGAUUCCUCUGAGAUGAUAUCUAGCUCCAUUCAGUUCUGCAGACAGUGUCACAGAAGUGAUUUUUGGAACAGUUCGCAUGAGGCAACACUGGGAGUGUGACUAACGUUUCAGAAGUACUCCUACAGCAGGGACAUUUGGGAGAGUUUGCCAGAGACAAAAUGAGCAUCGGGCCACCACCGUGGGUAGACAGGAAAAGAAUACACCCAUCUUAGUCAAUAUUGUAGUCACAGAAAAACAAGGUAACAUUUACUCAGCACCAAAGGGCAGUUUUAGAAAGAGCAAAAAUGAACCCUUCAGACCUGCUUUUAGAGUUCAGGAUUAGGAAGACAUUUUAGCUUUGAUAAAAAGCAUGUCAUUUUUUCCUUUUCCUUCACGAUCACAGCUCACCAAGGUUGGAAAAAAGACCUCCAAGAUCAUUCAGUCCAACCACCCACCUACCACCAGUAUUUCCCCGCUAAACCACGUCCCUCAGUACAACCUCUAAAUGUUUCUGGAACACCCCCAGGGAUGGUGACCCCACCACCCCCCUGGGCACUCUGUGCCUCACCACUCUUUCAGUGGAGCAAAUGUUUCCUAACAUCCAGCCUGAACCUCCCCUGGCACAACUUGCUCACACUCAAACUGCUUCAGAUGUUCACUUCACAUCAAGGAUGAGGGUCUGCAUUGCUAUUCUGAGGUUAACUCAAUCACUGCAGUUUCCUCAGAGGCCCCCAGCAGGGCUUUGCUACUGCUUCCAAGUCAAACAAGCUGAUCACUGCAAUCUACAUCAAUAAGAUUAAAUUACACUUGCUGUGUUCACGUU
Molecule: long non-coding RNA, 6845 nt
Organism: Lagopus muta (rock ptarmigan)
Lineage: Eukaryota; Metazoa; Chordata; Aves; Galliformes; Phasianidae
Exons: 3
Source: RefSeq, a predicted model, not a curated record